CGCUAACAUCUACCAGUGACACUGGAACGAAAGCACUAGCUAACUACAGUACUUAUCACCAAGAAAAGAAGAAAAAGCAAUAGCUUGCUGCUAGCUUCUCAUGGCUCCUAUCGGAAGUAACACUCGGGCCUUGUGUUUGGUGGUUCUCCUGCUCAUGUCUACCACCUUCUUGUCCUGUCAUGCAUCAGGUACAGCAGGUGGGUGGACGAAGUUCUGCGUAGCCGAGAAAGCCUGCGCGCCAACGGCAGGACCCAAGGACGAUCAUGUGUGCAAGGCUGAUUGCGGACGCCAAGGUUACGACAAGGAUAAAAGCUAUUGCGCACCAGACCCUAGUGGCAUUUGCUGCUGCCAAAAGUAAUACAAGCCGUCAGUCUGAAGGAUCCAUUUAAUUUGGAUGGAGAUGAUAUGUUUUGUCCUGUGCUAGAAAGUUUUGGGCAGUGAAAGGGGAAUAAUUUUCUAUGCAUGCUGGGAUUUAGCUCAUGCAGAAACAAUCAAUAAACUAUAAUGGUUGUAUCCGAGAAAACAAAUACUGCACUUGUUGAGUUAUAUGUUUUUCCUACCCUUCCUCUCCAAAGAGCAAC
Molecule: long non-coding RNA, 581 nt
Organism: Triticum aestivum (bread wheat)
Lineage: Eukaryota; Viridiplantae; Streptophyta; Magnoliopsida; Poales; Poaceae
Exons: 2
Source: RefSeq, a predicted model, not a curated record